UACGGGGGGAGCAAGCGUUGUUCGGAUUUACUGGGCGUAAAGGGCGCGUAGGCGGCCUGCUAAGUCGAACGUGAAAUCCCCGAGCUCAACUCGGGAACUGCGUCCGAUACUGGCAGGCUUGAAUCCGGGAGAGGGAUGCGGAAUUCCAGGUGUAGCGGUGAAAUGCGUAGAUAUCUGGAGGAACACCGGUGGCGAAGGCGGCAUCCUGGACCAACACUGACGCUGAGUGAGCGAAAGCCAGGGGAGCAAACGGG
Molecule: ribosomal RNA, 254 nt
Filed under: uncultured bacterium
Lineage: Bacteria
Description: partial 16S ribosomal RNA
Rfam family: Bacterial small subunit ribosomal RNA
Source: RNAcentral